This 352-nucleotide unclassified non-coding RNA is filed under the name soil metagenome. Its description in RNAcentral is "partial contains 5.8S ribosomal RNA, internal transcribed spacer 2, and large subunit ribosomal RNA". The stretch from base 1 to 120 matches the Rfam family "5.8S ribosomal RNA", at positions 35 to 154 of the family's 154-position model. The record is from RNAcentral.
GAUGAAGAACGUAGCGAAAUGCGAUAAGUGAUGUGAAUUGCAGAAUUCAGUGAAUCAUCGAAUCUUUGAACGCACAUUGCGCCCGCCAGUAUUCUGGCGGGCAUGCCUGUUCGAGCGUCAUUACAACCCUCAGGCCCCCGGGCCUGGCGUUGGGGAUCGGCGGAGCCCCCCGUGGGCACACGCCGUCCCCCAAAUACAGUGGCGGUCCCGCCGCAGCUUCCAUCGCGUAGUAGCUAACACCUCGCGACUGGAGAGCGGCGCGGCCACGCCGUAAAACACCCAACUCUUCUGAAGUUGACCUCGAAUCAGGUAGGAAUACCCGCUGAACUUAAGCAUAUCAAUAAGCGGAGGA